AGAGCGAACGCUGGCGGCAUGCUUAACACAUGCAAGUCGCACGGGCGGGGGCAACUCUGUCAGUGGCGGACGGGUGAGUAACGCGUAGGUAUCUAUCCUUGGGUGGGGGACAACUGUGGGAAACUACAGCUAAUACCGCAUGAUGACUGAGGUCCAAAGCCCGUGAGGGUGCCUGGGGAGGAGCCUGCGUACGAUUAGCUUGUUGGUGGGGUAAAGGCCUACCAAGGCUGUGAUCGUUAGCUGGUCUGAGAGGAUGAUCAGCCACAUUGGGACUGAGACACGGCCCAAACUCCUACGGGAGGCAGCAGUGGGGAAUAUUGGACAAUGGGCGCAAGCCUGAUCCAGCAAUGCCGCGUGUGUGAAGAAGGUCUUCGGAUUGUAAAGCACUUUCGACGGGGACGAUGAUGACGGUACCGUAGAAGAGCCCGGCUAACUUCGUGCCAGCAGCCGC
Molecule: ribosomal RNA, 451 nt
Filed under: uncultured bacterium
Lineage: Bacteria
Description: SSU rRNA
Rfam family: Bacterial small subunit ribosomal RNA
Source: RNAcentral